UGCUCAGUUAUACCUCUCAAAGAUUGGUUGUGACACUGACUGCCUCAGCUUUGAUCUCCGACCUUCAGAUGCAAUAAAUAUUGCAGUCCGAUGCAAGGUCCCAAUUCAAGUGAACAAGUAUCUUGCAUACAGUGAUGGUAUGAGAGUUGUUGAAAGUGGGAAGCUGUCAACCCAGGCCCCUGCUACGGAUGGCUUAUUAUUCACUGAACUGGAUAGGCCUAGUGGUCAGCCUUGUGUUGAAGCCAAAGAGUUCAAUCUCGUGAGGAAUAUGCUGAUUGCGGCUGUUGAAGAGCGCUAUAGAGAUGCUGCUCAAUGGAGGGACAAGCUCAAUCUCCUGAGGGCUAGGAGGAAUUUGGCAUAAUAAGAGGAGUUACUCCUGGAGAUAGCAUACUUGUACAUAGAACGGAAUUGUUCGUGGCCGAGGUUGGUUUGCGUGGGUGAACUAUAUUGCCUCUUGCCUCUUGCCUCUUGCCUCCUCUACUUGCAUUAUAUAUUUAGCAACUCUGUGAAUAUACAUAUCUAUAUUAUAUAUAUGGUGUAGAUAGAACUUGUUGGUUUCGGG
Molecule: unclassified non-coding RNA, 562 nt
Filed under: Hevea brasiliensis (rubber tree)
Lineage: Eukaryota; Viridiplantae; Streptophyta; Magnoliopsida; Malpighiales; Euphorbiaceae
Source: RNAcentral